AGAGUUUGAUCCUGGCUCAGAUUGAACGCUGGCGGAAUGCUUUACACAUGCAAGUCGAACGGCAGCACGGGUGCUUGCACCUGGUGGCGAGUGGCGAACGGGUGAGUAAUGCGUCGGAACGUACCGAGUAAUGGGGGAUAACGCAGCGAAAGUUGUGCUAAUACCGCAUACGCCCUGAGGGGGAAAGUGGGGGAUCGUAAGACCUCACGUUAUUCGAGCGGCCGACGUCUGAUUAGCUAGUUGGUGAGGUAAUGGCUCACCAAGGCGACGAUCAGUAGCGGGUCUGAGAGGAUGAUCCGCCACACUGGGACUGAGACACGGCCCAGACUCCUACGGGAGGCAGCAGUGGGGAAUUUUGGACAAUGGGGGCAACCCUGAUCCAGCCAUUCCGCGUGAGUGAAGAAGGCCUUCGGGUUGUAAAGCUCUUUCAGCAGGAACGAAACGGUACGCUCUAACAUAGUGUGCUAAUGACGGUACCUGCAGAAGAAGCACCGGCUAACUACGUGCCAGCAGCCGCGGUAAUACGUAGGGUGCGAGCGUUAAUCGGAAUUACUGGGCGUAAAGCGUGCGCAGGCGGAUUGUUAAGCAAGAUGUGAAAUCCCCGGGCUUAACCUGGGAAUGGCAUUUUGAACUGGCAGUCUAGAGUGUGUCAGAGGGGGGUGGAAUUCCACGUGUAGCAGUGAAAUGCGUAGAGAUGUGGAGGAACACCGAUGGCGAAGGCAGCCCCCUGGGAUAACACUGACGCUCAUGUACGAAAGCGUGGGU
RNAcentral lists this ribosomal RNA (765 nucleotides) under uncultured bacterium. RNAcentral describes it as "bacterial SSU rRNA". It matches the Rfam family "Bacterial small subunit ribosomal RNA", at positions 8 to 766 of the family's 1533-position model. The record is from RNAcentral.